Molecule: ribosomal RNA, 483 nt
Filed under: uncultured bacterium
Lineage: Bacteria
Description: partial 16S ribosomal RNA
Rfam family: Bacterial small subunit ribosomal RNA
Source: RNAcentral
AUUGAACGCUGGCGGCAGGCCUAACACAUGCAAGUCGAGCGGAUGAAGGGAGCUUGCUCCUGGAUUCAGCGGCGGACGGGUGAGUAAUGCCUAGGAAUCUGCCUGGUAGUGGGGGAUAACGUCCGGAAACGGGCGCUAAUACCGCAUACGUCCUGAGGGAGAAGUGGGGGAUCUUCGGACCUCACGCUUUCCGAUGAGCCUAGGUCGGAUUAGCUAGUUGGUGGGGUAAAGGCCUACCAAGGCGACGAUCCGUAACUGGUCUGAGAGGAUGAUCAGUCACACUGGAACUGAGACACGGUCCAGACUCCUACGGGAGGCAGCAGUGGGGAAUAUUGGACAAUGGGCGAAAGCCUGAUCCAGCCAUGCCGCGUGUGUGAAGAAGGUCUUCGGAUUGUAAAGCACUUUAAGUUGGGAGGAAGGGCAGUAAGUUAAUACCUUGCUGUUUUGACGUUACCAACAGAAUAAGCACCGGCUAACUUCGUG